This 256-nucleotide ribosomal RNA is filed under the name uncultured bacterium. Its description in RNAcentral is "partial 16S ribosomal RNA". It matches the Rfam family "Bacterial small subunit ribosomal RNA", at positions 96 to 353 of the family's 1533-position model. The record is from RNAcentral.
UGGCGGACGGGUGAGUAAUGUCUGGGAAACUGCCUGAUGGAGGGGGAUAACUACUGGAAACGGUAGCUAAUACCGCAUAACGUCGCAAGACCAAAGAGGGGGACCUUCGGGCCUCUUGCCAUCGGAUGUGCCCAGAUGGGAUUAGCUAGUAGGUGGGGUAACGGCUCACCUAGGCGACGAUCCCUAGCUGGUCUGAGAGGAUGACCAGCCACACUGGAACUGAAACACGGUCCAGACUCCUACGGGAGGCAGCAUG